GCCAGACUCCUACGGGAGGCAGCAGUGGGGAAUAUUGCACAAUGGGGGGAACCCUGAUGCAGCGACGCCGCGUGGGUGAAGGAGCACCUCGGUGCGUAAAGCCCUAUCGGCAGGGAAGAAGGAGGACGGUACCUGACUAAGAGGCCCCGGCUAACUACGUGCCAGCAGCCGCGGUAAUACGUAGGGGGCAAGCGUUAUCCGGAUUUACUGGGUGUAAAGGGGGCGCAGACGGCAGCGCAAGCCAGGAGUGAAAGCCCGGGGCCCAACCCCGGGACUGCUCUUGGAACUGCGCGGCUGGAGUGCAGGAGGGGCAGGCGGAAUUCCUGGUGUAGCGGUGAAAUGCGUAGAUAUCAGGAGGAACACCGGUGGCGAAGGCGGCCUGCUGGACUGCGACUGACGUUGAGGCCCGAAAGCGUGGGGAGCAAACAGGAUUAGAUACCCCAGUA
RNAcentral lists this ribosomal RNA (446 nucleotides) under uncultured bacterium. RNAcentral's name for it is "partial 16S ribosomal RNA". It matches the Rfam family "Bacterial small subunit ribosomal RNA", at positions 330 to 792 of the family's 1533-position model. The record is from RNAcentral.